AACGCUAGCUACAGGCUUAACACAUGCAAGUCGAGGGGAAACGACAUCGAAAGCUUGCUUUUGAUGGGCGUCGACCGGCGCACGGGUGAGUAACGCGUAUCCAACCUGCCCACCACUUGGGGAUAACCUUGCGAAAGUAAGACUAAUACCCAAUGAUAUCUCUAGAAGACAUCUGAAAGAGAUUAAAGAUUUAUCGGUGAUGGAUGGGGAUGCGUCUGAUUAGCUUGUUGGCGGGGUAACGGCCCACCAAGGCGACGAUCAGUAGGGGUUCUGAGAGGAAGGUCCCCCACAUUGGAACUGAGACACGGUCCAAACUCCUACGGGAGGCAGCAGUGAGGAAUAUUGGUCAAUGGGCGAGAGCCUGAACCAGCCAAGUAGCGUGCAGGAUGACGGCCCUAUGGGUUGUAAACUGCUUUUAUAAGGGAAUAAAGUGAGCCUCGUGAGGCUUUUUGCAUGUACCUUAUGAAUAAGGACCGGCUAAUUCCGUGCCAGCAGCCGCGGUAAUACGGAAGGUCCGGGCGUUAUCCGGAUUUAUUGGGUUUAAAGGGAGCGUAGGCCGGAGAUUAAGCGUGUUGUGAAAUGUAGACGCUCAACGUCUGCACUGCAGCGCGAACUGGUUUCCUUGAGUACGCACAAAGUGGGCGGAAUUCGUGGUGUAGCGGUGAAAUGCUUAGAUAUCACGAAGAACUCCGAUUG
This 696-nucleotide ribosomal RNA is filed under the name uncultured bacterium. RNAcentral's name for it is "bacterial SSU rRNA". It matches the Rfam family "Bacterial small subunit ribosomal RNA", at positions 32 to 715 of the family's 1533-position model. The record is from RNAcentral.